Molecule: long non-coding RNA, 753 nt
Organism: Hydra vulgaris (swiftwater hydra)
Lineage: Eukaryota; Metazoa; Cnidaria; Hydrozoa; Anthoathecata; Hydridae
Source: RefSeq, a predicted model, not a curated record
CAGUAUAAGUCAAGGCACCUUUGUUUUACUUAUUGAUGCGGCAAAAUAUGAUAACAAAAAUUUUACUUGUUAAUGCGGCAAAAUAAAAUAAAAUACGGUAAGCGAAAUCAUCGACCUACUUUGGAGUUAUGUUAACGUCUGCUAACCUCGUAAUAUUCGGUACAAAAAAAUGUAAUUCCUCGUUCUCAAUCUCCUUACGAAAGAAUGUUGUUAUUCCAGAAUUAUUCCGGCACAAAAUCCUCCGGUUAACAACCCUAAAGAACUAGCCUCAACAACUGUACUUAAUGAUGAACAGAGUCAAUGAUGAUGGACUUCGUGUGUCAAAAAGGUAAAACGUGUCACUGGUAACAAUGAAAAAAUUCAUUUAUACGGUGAAUAAUACUACAGGCUACAAUGAUACUUCACACCUCUAUUCCUGGUAUACAAAGCAAAACGAAACUUUAGAGCUGAGUGAGUUGCAACAGGGUUAUUUCAAAGAAAUCGACGUAUUAUUAACGUCGAUAUUUCGACCAUCUCCUAAUAUUUCUACAUCAUUAACAAAAAACGUUAAAGAAUUCUAAUUGUUGAAUUGAAAUGUAAUUGUUGAAUUAAAAUAUAGUUGUUGAAUUGAAAUGUAAUUGUUGAAUUGAAAUGUAAUUGUUGAAUUGAAAUGUAAUUGUUGAAUUGAAAUGUAAUUGUUGAAUUGGAAUGCAAUUGUUGAAUUGAAAAUUCUUUUGUAUCUUUAACACUUGUUUAUUUUGAAUGUUUAUUGAU